RNAcentral lists this ribosomal RNA (796 nucleotides) under Longidorus attenuatus. RNAcentral describes it as "eukaryotic LSU rRNA". It matches the Rfam family "Eukaryotic large subunit ribosomal RNA", at positions 359 to 943 of the family's 3401-position model. Lineage: Eukaryota; Metazoa; Nematoda; Enoplea; Dorylaimida; Longidoridae. The record is from RNAcentral.
GAAAGUUGAAAAGAACUUUGAAGAGAGAGUUCAAAAGGGCGUGAAACCGCUUAGAAUAAAACGGACGGAGCCGUCAGUGGCCUUCCGGAAUCAGUCGUAUGACGCGCGAUAAUGCGUUGCCUUAGAGCGAAAGUCUGGGUGCGCGUUAGGAAAUAGUAGCGUUCAUUCGAUGCAUUUCCGGAGGGUAUGCGCCACGACCGAUGCGAAAGGCUAGUGAAUCCGGCGGAUUGAGGUGGAAAACCCCUCGUGGGUCUUCAGUACCAGUUCGUCGGCCUAUAGUCGCUAGACCGCAGUAUGCAUCGAGCGCGGAAUAUAUCGAACACUGGCAAAAAUGCUCGUUUAAGCGGCGGAUUGUCGACGGAAUAUUCCGUACCUGCUCGCAGGUUAUGUUUAUUCCCGUUCGGCCUUUGAAGUCGCGGACGAGUUUAUGGUGUUCGGGCGUCAGUGGCGUCCGAGACGGUCAACCGUCCGACCCGUCUUGAAACACGGACCAAGGAGUCUAACGUACGCGCGAGCUAAUGAGUGGAAAACUCAUAAGCGCAAUAAAAGUAAAAGCCGUUUCCGACGGCGUGGGGUACGAUCCCGGGGUAUUCAUUUAUCCCGGGCGCAGUACCAUCCCAUCCUAAUCGCUCGUCGAUAGGGUGGAGAUUGAGUGCAUACGUUGGGACCCGAAAGAUGGUGAACUAUGCCUGAGCAGAGCGAAGCCAGAGGAAACUCUGGUGGAGGUUCGUAGCGGUUCUGACGUGCAAAUCGAUCGUCAGACUUGGGUAUAGGGGCGAAAGACUAAUCGAACCAU